RNAcentral lists this ribosomal RNA (924 nucleotides) under uncultured Bacteroidota bacterium. RNAcentral's name for it is "bacterial SSU rRNA". It matches the Rfam family "Bacterial small subunit ribosomal RNA", at positions 1 to 917 of the family's 1533-position model. Lineage: Bacteria; Pseudomonadati; Bacteroidota. The record is from RNAcentral.
UGGAUCCAGACUUGAUUCUGGCUCAGGAUGAACGCUAGCUACAGGCUUAACACAUGCAAGUCGAGGGGCAGCAUGAAGUCAGCUUGCUGACUUUGAUGGCGACCGGCGCACGGGUGAGUAACGCGUAUCCAACCUUCCCCUGUCUCGGGCAUAACCCGGUGGAAACCGGACUAAUUCCCGAUGUUGUUCCUUGACGGCAUCAGAUUGGAACCAAAGAUUUAUCGGACAGGGAUGGGGAUGCGUCUGAUUAGGUAGUUGGUGAGGUAACGGCUCACCAAGCCUUCGAUCAGUAGGGGUUCUGAGAGGAAGGUCCCCCACAUUGGAACUGAGACACGGUCCAAACUCCUACGGGAGGCAGCAGUGAGGAAUAUUGGUCAAUGGGCGAGAGCCUGAACCAGCCAAGUAGCGUGCAGGAUGACGGCCCUAUGGGUUGUAAACUGCUUUUAUACGGGGAUAAAGUUGGGGACGUGUCCCCAUUUGUAGGUACCGUAUGAAUAAGGACCGGCUAAUUCCGUGCCAGCAGCCGCGGUAAUACGGAAGGUCCGGGCGUUAUCCGGAUUUAUUGGGUUUAAAGGGAGCGUAGGCCGGAGAUUAAGCGUGUUGUGAAAUGUAGGAGCUCAACUUCUGCACUGCAGCGCGAACUGGUUUCCUUGAGUACGUAGGAAGUUGGCGGAAUUCGUGGUGUAGCGGUGAAAUGCUUAGAUAUCACGAAGAACUCCGAUUGCGAAGGCAGCUGACUGUAUCGUAACUGACGCUGAAGCUCGAAAGUGUGGGUAUCGAACAGGAUUAGAUACCCUGGUAGUCCACACGGUAAACGAUGGAUGCUCGCUGUUCGGCCUUUAUGGUUGAGCGGCUUAGGGAAACCGUUAAGCAUCCCACCUGGGGAGUACGCCGGCAACGGUGCAACUCAAAGGAAUUGACGGA